RNAcentral lists this ribosomal RNA (498 nucleotides) under Triticum aestivum (bread wheat). RNAcentral's name for it is "partial small subunit ribosomal RNA". Lineage: Eukaryota; Viridiplantae; Streptophyta; Magnoliopsida; Poales; Poaceae. The record is from RNAcentral.
AUGUCGGACGGGGCCGAGCCGUGCAGCAGCCCCAUGGGCAGAGGCAGCAGGAGGUGCGCGUCCGGGCGAAGAACGGCGAAGAACGAGAAGAGGAUGAGCAUGGAAGAAAGGAGGCAGCGAAUGGAUGAUGGUGGAGGUCGGAGGGGUGAUGUCGGACGGGGCCGAGCCGUGCAGCGGCCCCAUGGGCAGAGGCAGCAGGAGGUGCGCGUCCGGGCGAAGAACGAGAAGAGGACGAGCAUGGAAGAAAGGAGGCAGCGAACGGAUGAUGGGCAGAGGCAGCAGGAGGUGCGCGUCCGGGCGAAGAACGAGAAGAGGACGAGCAUGGAAGAAAGGAGGCAGCGAACGGAUGAUGGUGGAGGUCGGAGGGGUGGCGGCCUCGCCGGAGUGACGAACUCCCGAGGGUGGCGGCGAGCGGGAUCGAGGCGUGUUGGGCACUGCCCCUCCGUUUGUGAUGGCGCUAGGAGGAGAUGGGAUCGGGAGGCUGGGGGAUCGGGCUAG